This 1919-nucleotide long non-coding RNA is filed under the name Homo sapiens (human). RNAcentral describes it as "HSALNT0049986". The record is from RNAcentral. Lineage: Eukaryota; Metazoa; Chordata; Mammalia; Primates; Hominidae.
CCGAAGAAGAGAAUUUUUAACUAAGAAGUCACUUCUAAAGUUCAAAUGGACAAAAAACAUAUAGUGAUGGCCAGAAAAAUUCUAAACAGUCACGAUAACGAACAUCGGCUCUCCCAGAUCUGCUCCAUGGAUCAGAAUCAGUUCCACAUGGGGUCAAAGAUUUAAUGUAAAAAAAUAAAACCACUGAAGUCAGAGGAUAAAGGAGAAUGAGGCUGCCGUCUAAGCAAGACACAAAACCAAGAGGAAGCCGCUCACCACAGAAAUGGGGUGACGACUCAGUUCCCAUGACUGAGCAGAGCCCUGAUACGUGACGACCAUCAGCUCCGUGGCCGGCCCAGGGAGGGCUCCUGCCCUGGUCCUCGAUGGCUUCCCUGCUGACCAGGGUGCUCCGAGCCUGCUUUGUACGUCUCCUGGCCCAGGUCUGGAGUCAACCAUGUCUCCAAGGAGCUCUGGGUCCCGCUGGUAGGAAGUGGUCUUUAGGGACCACACUCGGGGUGCUGGGGUGCUCACUGCCCUGAGAAGGUCAUAUGUCUGGGCCUUCUCCGUAGUCAGAGCUCAGAGCUACACAUACAGAGACGGAACCCCUCAUGAGUCCACACCGGAACCCCCAGCUCCAAGACUGCGUCUUUCAACAGAACCUCUUCGUAUGACAUCUUGUCUCCUUUCUUCCACACCAAGGGUGUGGGUCUCGAAGACACUGGGGAUGGUAGAACUAGGACCUCCCAAAAUUUCUCACACUUCAUCCUCACGGCACACGCGGCACCUCAGACUCCAAUGCCAGUGCCACCACAGCCACGCUUCUAGGAGACGGGACAGGAGCUUCCAGGCCCUCCCUUCACCUGCACUCUACAAUUCUUCAAUGCACCCCUCCAGUCCUUACGUCAAAAUGGAACCACCUUGAAGAGGCUCCCAGCGGCCAAGGCCCAGUAAACACUAGAAUUCCCAGGCACAGAGAGGAGAGCGAGAGGGGCCGCAGAGCAGAGAGGGCCAUGCGCCCCACGCGGGAUCAGGGUCCCGCUGGAGACACCCACGUCUUCGUGAGAGAGGACAUGUUUUCCCAAACCCAAACGAGGCCCCACACUGAGAGCGGAGCUCCUGCUCUGCCAUUGGGCCACUUCUGCGGACUUCCCAAGACCCUCCCCGGGAGAGUGGCUGCACGAGGUGGGAAGGGCAGUUUUACGGCUCCGCACAGUUAGAGAUUAACUCACUGAUAAGGCCCACGCAGGACUUCACCAGCAGGGUUUCUCAGCCACCACCCUUGGCCAUCACUUCGUUCCGCCAUAGUCAACUCCUUCCUCAAACACCCUGCACCUUUAUGGCCCCUCACUCUGCACUUUUAUAGCCCCUCUGCACUUUUAUGGGACGCACUGGCCAUCUGUUUGAGAUGCUGCUUUCACACUUACAAUACCCCCCUUGGCCUUGCGGCAGCAUGAAUCUGUCUCUGUUCUUUGCAACUGCCCAAUUAAAACAAUGACGUUUCCAGAGAAAUGCUACAGCCUUCUCAAGGCGGGCUCUUCCCUUUUGCCAAAAGACCUGCUGGUCCCACACCUGCAGGGGUCAGGUAGGGUGGUCAGUGUUGGAGCAACCGGGAAGGGGGUGACCUGGGGACCCAGGAGGUGAGCCCAGCCACAGGUGCCCGUGACCGACCCAGAGCACCGUGGGGCAGUAAAUGGGUGAUGUGUUCCACCAAGCAGAGAGAUGGUGUUUCUGUCCUUACACGCAGGAGUUACACAUUGUUACACAUUCUUUAAGGAGAGCCUGUGGCUGCACUACUGGGAAUUUACUAGAAACCAGCGAAUUGUGCACUCUAAUUGGGUAAAUUCUUUAGUGUGUGAAUUGCAUCUCAAUAAGGCUGUUAAAAAAAUAAAAAAUCAAUUAAAAAUGUUCAAGAGUUCAGCUGCUAAAAACCUUGAAAGCUG